This is a small nucleolar RNA of Lepus europaeus (European hare), 78 nucleotides long. RefSeq annotates it as small nucleolar RNA SNORD115. The record is from RefSeq and is a predicted model, not a curated record. The transcript has a single exon. Lineage: Eukaryota; Metazoa; Chordata; Mammalia; Lagomorpha; Leporidae.
GGGUUGAUGAUGAGACCUCAUACUGUCUCGAAGAGAGAUGAUGACUUAAAAAUCAUGCUCAGGCCAGUGCCGCAGCUC